This 464-nucleotide ribosomal RNA is filed under the name uncultured bacterium. RNAcentral's name for it is "partial 16S ribosomal RNA". It matches the Rfam family "Bacterial small subunit ribosomal RNA", at positions 339 to 795 of the family's 1533-position model. The record is from RNAcentral.
CUACGGGGGGCAGCAGUGGGGAAUAUUGCACAAUGGGCGCAAGCCUGAUGCAGCAAUGCCGCGUGUAUGAAGAAGGCCUUCGGGUUGUAAAGUACUUUCAGCGGGGAGGAAGGUCGUAAAGCUAAUACCUUUGCUCAUUGACGUUACCUGCAGAAGAAGCACCGGCUAACUCCGUGCCAGCAGCCGCGGUAAUACGGAGGGUGCAAGCGUUAAUCGGAAUUACUGGGCGUAAAGCGCACGCAGGCGGUUUGUUAAGUCAGAUGUGAAAUCCCCGGGCUCAACCUGGGAACUGCAUCCGAUACUGGCAAGCUAGAGUCUGGGAGAGGGGGGGAGAAUUCCAGGUGUAGCGGUGAAAUGCGUAGAGAUCUGGAGGAAUACCAAUGGCGAAGGCGGCCCCCUGGACCAAGACUGACGCUGAGGGGCGAAAGCGUGGGGAGCAAACAGGAUUAGAUACCCCAGUAGUC